This 335-nucleotide ribosomal RNA is filed under the name uncultured eukaryote. RNAcentral's name for it is "partial 18S ribosomal RNA". It matches the Rfam family "Eukaryotic small subunit ribosomal RNA", at positions 1470 to 1796 of the family's 1831-position model. The record is from RNAcentral.
CCCUUAGAUGUUCUGGGCCGCACGCGCGCUACACUGAAGGAAUCAGCGUGGCUCUGUCCCUGGUCCGAAAGGAUUGGGAAACCCGUUGAAUCUCCUUCGUGAUAGGGAUUGGGACUUGGAACUGUUCCCCAUGAACGAGGAAUUCCCAGUAAGCGCGAGUCAUAAGCUCGCGUUGAUUACGUCCCUGCCCUUUGUACACACCGCCCGUCGCUACUACCGAUUGAACGGUUUAGUGAGGGCAUCGGACUGGUCUCGGCCCGCCCUUCACCGGUGCGGCGCCGCCGGCCGGGAAGACGCUCGAACUUGAUCGUUUAGAGGAAGUAAAANUCGUAACA